UGGAGACCAGCCUUGGCUGGACCACUUCCACCCCAGAGGCUCUUCACCGCCUCCCCAUCCAGACCCAAGGUUCCCUAGUGGUCCAGACGGUUUCCUUGGCAGCGCUGGCACCAGGCCCACCACAGCUGCCAAACAUGAGGUGAUGGGACAGCCCUCGUGGCCUCCACCCACCGCCCUGGUGGAGAAGUGAAACAUGAACCCACCAGUGCAAGACAGAGGAAGAGGCACCAGCGAAGUCACACUAGGGAGAAUCCACAUCAGCCUGGCCAUGCAGGGGAGGCCUCACGAAGCCCUGGGAAGCCAGAGCAAUAAAACUCUUGUUCAAACAAACGAUUACAGUGGUAAGACACGAAAAGGAAGCUGUUCCUGCUGAUGAAGGGUGAGAAACCUGGAGCCUUCCCUCCCUCCACGCCACGUGGCAGACACCUCAGGGAAUGCUGGGUCUCAGGAGAACAUGCCGAUCCCGUUAACACACAGUCUUCAUAUGAAACCAUGUGGGAACUCAACACAUGCUGUCUCCUCUCUAACCUGAGAUCCUGGCCCUGUUCCACAAAGCGAGGCAGCCUCUUAUAUACCCCUCACAAACCAAGUACUGGGGUGGUGGCCAAAGGGGAGAGACAGGCUAGGGUGUGGGUGGGCCGAAGAAAUCUGAGAGGGACAGGAGCUGCGGUGGCCUGGUCUCUGAGCCUGCAGAGGCUCCCUUCCAGAGAGAGAGCUUGGAACUCAGUCUCUGCCUCCCUCCUUCUCUCCCUCCCUCCAGCAGAACUGCCCUGCCCCAGGGGGUUCAUACCUCGCUAGUCCCCUAGGCCUACACCUUUCCUAAUCUUAGGAGAGACAUAAGAAAAGGAAUCUCUCCCCUUCCCCGCAGAAUACUUUUUUUUUUUUUUUAAACAGGGUCUCUCUCUGUCACCUGGCUGGAGUGCAGUGGCGCAAUCAUGCUCACUGCAACUCUGCCUCCUGGGCUCAAGUGAUCCUCCCACCUCAGCCUCCCAAGUAGCUGGGACCACAGGCAUGCACCACCACGCCUGGCUAAUUUUUGUAUUUUUUGUAGAGAUGGGAUUUCGCCAUGUUGCCCAGGCUGGUCUCAAACUCCCAGCCUCAAGUGAUCCUCCCACCUAGGCCUCCCAAAGUGCUGGGAUUACAGGCAUGAGCCACCGUGCCUGGCCCACAAUACUUUGGUAUAGUUGCUUCAAGCCCAGAUUCUGGUUCUUCGCACAGUCAACCUAUAGGGUGCCCCCCCACCGCCCCCCCCAUAGUCCUUGAUAGUCAUGCUGGGUUAGUUUCUCUAACCAGAGGAUGGGCCCAUUCUUCGCUGUGAGAUGGUGUGUGGGGACAUCGGUAAGGAACAAAUAAAGACUUGGGCAAAUAACUUUAUUCUGAGGUUGGUUAUCUCAGCCACAGGCUGAGCAUCAUAGUACCUAUUCCGCAGGGCUAUUUGGAGGAUUAAAUGAGAUAAUGUGUAUCAAAGCCCAACAUGACAGGAGCUCAGCGUAGAAGCAGUUCCAUACCAGAAAAAAGGAUGGCUUUGUCCCUUAGGUGUCGUGUCACCUCAGAUAAGGCAUUUCCCCUCUUUGAACUCCAGUUUCCUCAUUUGUAAAAUGAGCAUGUUUAAAAUUUUUUUUACUUAAAAAAGGGGCAUAUUAAUAUCUACCCUUCACAGUUGCUAUAAGUAGAGGCGAUUCACAUGACGUGGUUGAUACCUGGCACAAAGAAAGUACUCAAAACAGGAUAGUAAUAAUUGUAAUUAUUACUACUUUUACUAUUAUUAACUUAACUAGAAGGGCAGUGUGGUUUUAUAGUUAAGCACAUAAACUUUGCAGCCAAAUUUCCUAGGUUUAACUUACAAGUCAUCAAUGGAGCUGUGUGACUUUGAGCAAAUUACUUAACCUCUCUGUGCCUACAGUUCAUUAACUGUAUACUAAUUUACCUACUUCAUGGCCUUGCAGUGAUAAAGAAGUUAUUGUAUGUAGAGCACUUUGCAGAGUGCCUGGCAAAUAGUAAAUGCCACAAACACAUUUGCUGUAAUUAUUCUUAGUAAUAAAUAUCCAUAUUUGUACUAUUAUAGUCAUUAACAACUCGGCUCUGUGAAAGCCUUCUCCUUGGAUCCAAUUAAGGGACCCACAAACCAACAGAUCCACCAUCCUACAAAAGGUUUAGCCCCCUCAGAAGCUGUGUGACCUCGGGCUAGUUACCUCUCCUCUCUGAGCCUGCUUUUAUUUAUCUACAAAAUGUGAAUUGUAAUAGUACCCAUAAUGAUACUUCUAGGUUGUUUGACGUGCAUUAGUGAGCGAUGACCCGUGGGAAGCUUCUAGCUUCUAGUCAAUUAAGCCCUGGUCCCCGUGCUCUG
This 2347-nucleotide long non-coding RNA is filed under the name Homo sapiens (human). Its description in RNAcentral is "long non-coding RNA NONHSAT195360.1". Lineage: Eukaryota; Metazoa; Chordata; Mammalia; Primates; Hominidae. The record is from RNAcentral.